Molecule: ribosomal RNA, 750 nt
Filed under: uncultured bacterium
Lineage: Bacteria
Description: bacterial SSU rRNA
Rfam family: Bacterial small subunit ribosomal RNA
Source: RNAcentral
GGGGAGGCUACAUGCAAGUCGAACGGAGACGGAGCUGGAAGGGAAGUUUACUGUAACGGAAAGAUCUGUCUUAGUGGCGGACGGGUGAGUAACGCAUGGGCAACCUGCCCUGUACCGGGGGAUAACACUUAGAAAUAGGUGCUAAUACCGCAUAAUAGGGAAUACCGCAUGGUAAUCCUUUGAAAACUCCGGUGGUACAGGAUGGGCCCGCGUCUGAUUAGCCAGUUGGCGGGGUAACGGCCCACCAAAGCGACGAUCAGCAGCCGGCCUGAGGGGGUGGACGGCCACACUGGGACUGAGACACGGCCCAGACUCCUACGGGAGGCAGCAGUGGGGAAUAUUGCACAAUGGGGGGAACCCUGAUGCAGCGACGCCGCGUGAGUGAAGAAGUAUUUCGGUAUGUAAAGCUCUGUCAGCAGGGAAGAAGAAAGACGGUACCUGACCAAGAAGCCCCGGCUAACUACGUGCCAGCAGCCGCGGUAAUACGUAGGGGGCAAGCGUUAUCCGGAUUUACUGGGUGUAAGGGAGCGUAGACGGCAGGGCAAGUCUGGAGUGAAGGCAGGGGCCCAACCCCUGGACUGCUCUGGAAACUGUCCGGCUGGAGUGCAGGAGAGGUAAGUGGAAUUCCUAGUGUAGCGGUGAAAUGCGUAGAUAUUAGGAGGAACACCAGUGGCGAAGGCGGCCGCCUGGCCUGUUGCUGACGCUGAGGCACGAAAGCGUGGGGAGCAAAUAGGAUUAGAUACCCUAGUA